Molecule: long non-coding RNA, 484 nt
Organism: Microtus ochrogaster (prairie vole)
Lineage: Eukaryota; Metazoa; Chordata; Mammalia; Rodentia; Cricetidae
Exons: 3
Source: RefSeq, a predicted model, not a curated record
UAAAGAGCGGAACUAGAACUCAAAUGACACCACUUAGCCAUGAGACAAUCUAUACUUCAUAAAUAGCCACGUGUGUAUGUUACCUUGGAGACCUUGAGCAGUGUUUCUGCUUCUCCUACUGAUAAGAAUCUGUACCCAGAGACACUGGAAAUGCUUCCACACAGUUGAUGGAACCCGAGUUUGAGAAGGAAGCUGAGGGUUGAGAGGUUCAGGCAAGUGAUCCCUGUCCUUGCUGCUGUCAUUGUAGCUAAUGGUUCCGUUCUCAAAAAACUCCUGGAAAAUCUUUCUUCAAAUUGCAUAUCUGGAAAGUGAGAUGUUGUAGCCAAAUACCUGACAAAAAGCAAUUUAAGGCAAGAAAUCACACAGUCGGUCUUAACAAGAAGAUGAUGGUGACAACAGCCUGAAGAGGAUGGCUCCAUCACUCCAACAAUCAGGAAGCAGAGCAAACAGACAGAAAGUUGAGCAGACUCCCAAACUUCAAGGU